GGAAUAAGCCGCUGAUUGUGAAGAGGCUGGGCGGAAGGAAGUGCUGCUGCCGCCGCACACUGCUGCGGACGGACGAUCGGACGCUGUCAGGCCGAACAAACGCACCGAUCUAACGGAGAGAAAAUGCUGCAGCAUCCUUUGUUUUCUGACUCUGGAGCUCAGUAAUAAAUCCCGCUGACAACCUGCAGCACCUAGAGGACAAACAAGAGGCCCCAAAUCCAACAGCAGAGAUAAAGCAGAAGAUUUGAAGAAGCCAAAGAGCUGAACGAAAACAAAGCCCCAAACAGGCCAAUGCUGUUUGCAAGUUGGCAGGCUGAAGGUAGAGCUGAUCUCAGAAUGGCCAGGCAGUAGGGCGUUUGUUUCCUAACCUCUGCUGGCCCCUGGCUGAAUAGGAGCCACACCACGGAGCCAUCACAUCGUUUGAGCCUCAAACUUUUCUGCCGCUGCACAUCCUCCGUUCCAUCACUCUGUUGCCCAUCUUAGAUUAUUGAAGCUGUUUAUUCCUCAUAGCCAAUAAAGAUUAGAGAUCAUCUGUCAGUUAGCUAAUGAAUUUAUAUGACUACAGUAGUCGGCCACUUCUCCCAUUCUUCUUCGGUAACUCUCGCUUUAUCUCAGAAGGAUGUGCAGGGUGAGGGGUUUCAUCUGUUUUUAGAUUUUCUUUUGUCUCCACCUGGUGUCUUCAUGUUUUGGGGGUUCCUUAGUGACCCCACCCUCUGUCAACCACCCCGCACAUAUUGCCAUCACGGCCGGCCACCCCAAUCGCCUUGUUGCCAUGCCGACAGAGACACUGGCUCCCUCCCUGCCAGGUAGCAAGUCUGCUGGUCCCACCACGCCCUUCGGAUCCACUGUACCUCUUCGCAUCCUCAAUAAGGGCCCUGAAUACUUCAGGAGGCAGGCGGAACCUAACCCAAAUCGCUUGAGUGCAGUUGAAAGACUAGAAGCUGACAAAGCAAAGUAUGUCAAGAGCCAAGAGGUCAUCAACGCCAAGCAAGAACCAGUCAAACCACCUGUCCUGGCCAAGCCCACCAUUGACCCCUCCAAUCUGUCAAAGAAAAGCCCUGGUAUUGGUGGAGGAGGAAACGGAGCUGGGAUACCUUUUAAAGCAUCCAAUAACAAUGCUAAGUCAGACACAUGUGCAUCCAGCUGUGGCACCAGCAAACGGGAGAAUUUAAACCUGGAGAUCUUAAAAAAUCUGCUUAACUCAUCAUCAUCCUCGGGAGCAGCUUCUGAAGGACUAUCAAGUGGAGCUAAAAGUGCGGUAUUCAUGAGGUCCUCAGCCAGAAUGACCAGGAGCUGGACACCGCUGGGGAUACCGCUAACAUACAGAUCCACAAUGACCCUCAAUGAGCAACCUUCAGACUCAGUUCCCAGUCCAAGCACAUCACACUCCCUCAGAUCUUUCUCUCACUCCCUAAAGGUUCCCCCAGUGGCCAGAGGGGGGCGUCGCAGUCCUCAACAAGCAGGAAACCUCAACCUUAGCAAACGAGUCCAGGAUGAGAGAGGAUGUGAAGGAGGAGUUGUCCAGCGUUCUCAUUCUCCACUGCCACCUCUCCUCACCUCACACUCCUCAUCCGACCUACUACGGCUGUGCAAUGGUAAACCACUGCGCACAGCUCAGUCGAGUAGCUCCUCAGCUCCGCCCCUUCCUCCCAAGCCCCACCCCACCUCUCUCCCUCCUGCACUAUCCUUAUCACUGCCACGCCCGCGGCCCCCCUUCACCCCUACGCCUUGUGACAACCCGACCCCGCAGUCAUUACCUUUUGAUUUCGGAGACCCUGCCAGUGCAUCUGCUGAGCUGAACAUUGGUCUUGAGCAGGGUUCAAAUGUGACUCGUCGCUCUUCACUGCAUAGAUCCAAGUCAGACCUGUCGGACCGGUACGCCCGGGCUGGAGCUGAUGUGGAACGCUUUUUUAAUUACUGCGGACUUGACCCUGAGGAACUGGAGGCAGUGGGUCCUGAGAACUUUGCACGCGCCAACUCGGACAUCAUCAGCCUGAACUUUCGAUCGGCUUCUAUGAUCUCCUCUGACUGUGACCAGUCACGGCGAUCUUCCAACGAUGGAAUAUCAGAAGAGGAGGAGGGAGAGGAAGAGGAUGAUGCAGGGGAACGUGUCCCCUAUGGCAUCUCGGCUGUGGAACGAAAUGCAAGGGUCAUUAAAUGGCUGUAUAGCAUUAAACAAGCAAGGGAAACACAGAAGGUCUCCCAUGUUUAGGUUAAAGAUUCAUGAGGACUGGAGAUUCUGUAAACUGAAGACAAUCUCACCCAUGGCUCUAAACCAAUGUGGUUGUUUAUAGCCUAGUUUUAAGGCUGAAAAGAAAAUAAUUUUAGUUUUAAGAAUGAAGGACAAAAGAAGUGAUCUAACAGGUCACAUAAGCGGUAUGAAGAGAUGAAGAAUAACUCUCCAAAAUUUAGAACAAACCGAACAGAACAACCCAAACAUGGACUGAUGUAGGGAGAAAGACUCAGGCCUUUACUGUUUCUCUCUGGAAACUUGACUGACAGUAUCUCAGUUGGCUUAAGCACCACAAGCAAAAGGGUGAUGCAAUGCACUAGGGAACGGAUCCACACAGUCAAAAGUGUUUAAGACACAGAAGACACUUUGGCUGUCAUCCAUGAGUGUGACUGAUAUUUCAACAAAGCGCAGCCUGGUUUCUGAUCCGUUCUGCCAGUUAAAGCUUCAUUCAGUUUUCUUUCCACACUUAAAAAAUUGCCUUCAGUUUAAAACAUAAAACUGGGAUCAUGAGACAUCAGCACUGAUAAAGCAUAGCAACCCUGGUUGUAAUGGUGCCUGUAGAAGCAGUUUCAAAUUGUCAAAUUGUUCCAAUUGAUUUUUUUUUCCCUUAAGCACCAAAAACUCCUUUAUGUUCAAAUUGUUCCCACAACAUUGUCAUAUUGUGCUGUCCUGCUAUUCUACCAGAGGUAUUUAACAUGUCCAUCUCUGCUUGACUUCAUUAAGCAUCAUUCACAUAUGUGAAGAUUUUAUAAUUAAUACUUCCCACAGAGUAUUUUUUUACACAAACCUGUGAAUGAAGUAAGAAAUGCGAUCUUGUUUCCAAUACAUGCAGAAUGAAGUCUCCUUAGUGAGUUAAGAAGCAGAAAGCAAGUCCAGACUGAAAAUACUCUGUCUACCCUGCCUUCCACCAGUGAUGCUAACUAUCAACAUCUAGGAACUGAGAGGCAGCUUGAGAAUGCAGCAAUUUCUCCUGACAGAUUGAUAACAGUAAGUGGUUCCGCUGCUGUAUUACGCCCAUUGUUUUGUAUACAUGAAGCUAUUUGGUAUAUCCUCCUGACUACAAUUCAAAUGUCUUGAAAGUAGGCGACAUUUGUACACUGAACUAUGCCUCAUACAUUUGAACCCCACUGACAUCCGAAUUCAAUGUCCUCCAAAGUAGACAUUUGUAUUCUUCCCUUUUGACUUUGUUCAAAGAACAAUGCUAGAUUUUCCUGUCAGAAGCAAAUAGAACUACGGCUAGACCCUCAAUUUAACUCAAUUUAAUUUCAAAGGUACAAAGUUGGAAAUUCUCAUGGAUUUUCUCUAACCCAGGGUGUUGUGUAAAAUAUUUGCCUAAAUUUAUACAAACAUCUCCAGAUUAGGUUAAAGGUCUCUUGGCUACAUGCCUUCUUUUUCAUCAAGAAGCUUCUAGAAUAAUUCAGACUGGGUACUUGGCGACUCUGUAACAUGAUGCUACCACCACCGUGCUUGACGGGGGUAAAGUGCUUUUAUAGUUGAGACACCUUAACUGUGUUGAACGUAAUUCUGGUCCUUUGAUCAUUACAUCUUCCCCCAGAAGAAAUGUUCUCCCUCCAUGUGCAUCACUCUAGUUUCAGUCUACAUGAAGGUGCUUAUUUUGGAGCAGGGUCUCCUUUCUUGGUCCUGUCCUCUCAGUUCACCGUAGUGUAAAACUGACUUGACUGUGGACAGGGACACAGGUCUCCAGCCGUUUUGUAGUUCAUGCCCGGCCUUCGUCUUGUGGUGGUUUCUGGGUUGUUACUGAGCAUCUUAACCAGUUUUCUAUCAUCUGAUGACUUCUGAUUAACUUGGUCUUACACACAGUUGUUUGAACUGAUUAUCUGACUACAAGUAUUCAGCGAUGGCUUCAGAAGACUCCCCAACUUAUGGAAAUCUAGAAUUGUCCUUCUUGGAAAUUCUUGGACUAGUUAUUUGGACUUUCCCAUUGUUCUGAGUACUGGUCAAACAAAUCAUUUUCACGCUGCAAAGAGAAACUAUGUGCUGCAAUCAGCUAUGGUCAUUAACCAAAGGUUAACAGAUCUUCGCCUUUUCCAGCAUGAUUUUUUUUUCUUUAUGUAUGUGGGUUCUCUCCUCUAUAGAGGACACACCUCAAAAAUCCACUUUUUUCAGAAAAAGGUUUGCUGUAUCCUCAAUAACUUCCAAACAAUUUGGGUGGGAAAAAAACAAUGUGAAUGUGCCAGAUUUUUUUCAGCUGGUAGUCAGGAGGAUAUGUGACUGCUUAUAUGAACCAUUGUUAAAUAAAUACAACUGCGUCUCAUAAAAUGUGAAUAUUGUUAAAA
RNA transcript from Fundulus heteroclitus (mummichog), 4530 nucleotides. It is a transcript of the gene named family with sequence similarity 110 member B, with no coding region annotated. The transcript is spliced from 6 exons. The record is from RefSeq and is a predicted model, not a curated record. NCBI's taxonomy places the organism in Eukaryota, Metazoa, Chordata, Actinopteri, Cyprinodontiformes, Fundulidae.